UAUCUCCUGCAGCGUUCGAGGGUGGGCUGGGUGUUUCCUGAACCUAUAUUUACCCCGGGAACAAAUGUUCGAACUUGGUGUGCAUACCCGCUUUACGCGGGAAGCCUGAAAGGUCGUCUGCGUUCCCACUUGAACCAUUGGUUCAAGGACGAUAGCUCAUUACGGCGCAGGUGGGAGAUAC
The sequence is a non-coding RNA, 181 nucleotides long. It matches the Rfam family "6S / SsrS RNA". From Rfam's summary of the family: E. coli 6S RNA was the first non coding RNA to be sequenced, but its function was unknown until recently. It consists of 184 nucleotides that fold into an extended hairpin structure with a large single-stranded internal bulge. The record is from Rfam.